This 512-nucleotide ribosomal RNA is filed under the name uncultured bacterium. RNAcentral describes it as "partial 16S ribosomal RNA". It matches the Rfam family "Bacterial small subunit ribosomal RNA", at positions 355 to 870 of the family's 1533-position model. The record is from RNAcentral.
UGGGGAAUACUGCACAAUGGGCGGAAGCCUGAUGCAGCAACGCCGCGUGCGGGAUGACGGCCUUCGGGUUGUAAACCGCUUUCGCCUGUGACGAAGCGUGAGUGACGGUAAUGGGUAAAGAAGCACCGGCUAACUACGUGCCAGCAGCCGCGGUGAUACGUAGGGUGCGAGCGUUGUCCGGAUUUAUUGGGCGUAAAGGGCUCGUAGGUGGUUGAUCGCGUCGGAAGUGUAAUCUUGGGGGCUUAACCCCUGAGCGUGCUUUCGAUACGGGUUGACUUGAGGAAGGUAGGGGAGAAUGGGAUUCCUGGUGGAGCGGUGGAAUGCGCAGAUAUCAGGAGGAACACCAGUGGCGAAGGCGGUUCUCUGGGCCCUUUCCUGACGCUGAGGAUCGAAAGCGUGGGGAGCGAACAGGCUUAGAUACCCUGGUAGUCCACGCUGUAAACGGUGGGGUACUAGGUGUGGGGGUCCAUUUCCACGGGUCCCGUGGCCGUAGCUAACGCUUUAAGUACCCC